RNAcentral lists this ribosomal RNA (494 nucleotides) under uncultured bacterium. Its description in RNAcentral is "bacterial SSU rRNA". It matches the Rfam family "Bacterial small subunit ribosomal RNA", at positions 36 to 538 of the family's 1533-position model. The record is from RNAcentral.
AACGAACGCUGGCGGCAGGCCUAACACAUGCAAGUCGAACGCUCUAGCAAUAGAGAGUGGCAGACGGGUGAGUAACGCGUGGGAACCUACCUAGUGGUACGGAAUAGCUCAGGGAAACUUGGGGUAAUACCGUAUGCGCCCGAAAGGGGAAAGAUUUAUCGCCAUUAGAUGGGCCCGCGUAGGAUUAGCUAGUUGGUGAGGUAAUGGCUCACCAAGGCAACGAUCCUUAGCUGGUUUGAGAGAAUGACCAGCCACACUGGGACUGAGACACGGCCCAGACUCCUACGGGAGGCAGCAGUGGGGAAUCUUGGACAAUGGGCGCAAGCCUGAUCCAGCCAUGCCGCGUGAGUGACGAAGGCCUUAGGGUUGUAAAGCUCUUUCGGCAGGAACGAAACGGCGGGCUCUAACAUAGCCUGUCAAUGACGGUACCUGAAGAAGAAGCACCGGCUAACUACGUGCCAGCAGCCGCGGUAAAUGACGUCAGACUAAGACUG